Molecule: ribosomal RNA, 493 nt
Filed under: uncultured bacterium
Lineage: Bacteria
Description: partial 16S ribosomal RNA
Rfam family: Bacterial small subunit ribosomal RNA
Source: RNAcentral
AUUGAACGCUGGCGGCAUGCUUUACACAUGCAAGUCGAACGGUAACAGGUUAAGCUGACGAGUGGCGAACGGGUGAGUAAUGCAUCGGAACGUGCCCGGUCGUGGGGGAUAACGCAGCGAAAGCUGCGCUAAUACCGCAUACGAUCUGAGGAUGAAAGCGGGGGACCGUAAGGCCUCGCGCGAUCGGAGCGGCCGAUGUCAGAUUAGGUAGUUGGUGGGGUAAAGGCUCACCAAGCCGACGAUCUGUAGCUGGUCUGAGAGGACGACCAGCCAAAGAGGGAGGGGGACACGGCCCAGACUCCAAGGGGAGGCAGCGGGGGGGAAUUUGGGACAAUGGGUGCAGGCCUGACCAAGAAAUGCCGCGAGCAGGAAGAAGGCCUUCGGGUUUUAACCUGCUUUUGAACGGAGCGAAAAGGCUCUCUCUAAUACGGGGGGCUCAUGACGGUACCGUAAGAAUAAGCCCGGGCUAACUCCGUGCCAGCAGCCGCCGAAA